Molecule: unclassified non-coding RNA, 338 nt
Filed under: soil metagenome
Description: partial contains 5.8S ribosomal RNA, internal transcribed spacer 2, and large subunit ribosomal RNA
Rfam family: 5.8S ribosomal RNA (bases 1-120)
Source: RNAcentral
GAUGAAGAACGUAGUGAAAUGCGAUAAGUAAUGCGAAUUGCAGAAUUCAGUGAGUCAUCGAAUCUUUGAACGCAUAUUGCGCCCUUUGGUAUUCCGAAGGGCAUGCCUGUUCGAGCGUCAUUAUCACAAUAUCAAGCUUGGCUUGUUGUUGGGCCCUUUGUCACCUGGUGACAGGUCCAAAAGACAAUAACCGGUGUCAUACAGACUCUAUAUGCAACGAGCUUAUAACAGCACGCAUCUGGUGGUCAUGUGGCCCGGUUCUCACCUCUAUUUUUCAAGGUUGACCUCGGAUCAGGUAGGAAUACCCGCUGAACUUAAGCAUAUCAAUAAGCGGAGGA